RNAcentral lists this ribosomal RNA (254 nucleotides) under uncultured bacterium. RNAcentral describes it as "partial 16S ribosomal RNA". It matches the Rfam family "Bacterial small subunit ribosomal RNA", at positions 524 to 776 of the family's 1533-position model. The record is from RNAcentral.
UACGGGGGGGGGCAAGCGUUGUUCGGAAUUACUGGGCGUAAAGGGCGCGCAGGCGGCUUAUUUUGUCAGGCGUGAAAGCCCCGGGCUUAACCUGGGAACUGCGUUUGAUACGGAUGGGCUAGAGUUCGGGAGAGGAGAGUGGAAUUCCCAGUGUAGAGGUGAAAUUCGUAGAUAUUGGGAAGAACACCGGUGGCGAAGGCGGCUCUCUGGACCGAGACUGACGCUGAGGCGCGAAAGCGUGGGGAGCAAACAGG